This 393-nucleotide long non-coding RNA is filed under the name Vigna radiata. Its description in RNAcentral is "long non-coding RNA (VRAD_LNC002310)". Lineage: Eukaryota; Viridiplantae; Streptophyta; Magnoliopsida; Fabales; Fabaceae. The record is from RNAcentral.
CCAGCACGUAACUGAUCGGGAGAGAUAGUUUGGUAGAAGGUGGCAGAAACCAGAGAAGCAAAAAGGAAGGAAAGGGUUAAAGGAAGAAAGAAAGCUUUGAAAUUUGCCAUGGAUGAGGGUAGCUAAUAGGAAGAAAGAAGAUUGUUGUGUAGUUCGUAUAUUUUUUGGUGUAUUAUAAGUGUGGAGGUGUGAACUAUUUAUAACAAUGGAGGUGUGAAGUACUUGAUGUUUGGUAAACGUCACAUGAGACUAUAGGCACGAGCAAAGGCAAUAAGAAGUGGUAGUUGGAUAAAUAGAUUUUAGUACAAAGACACUGUGGUUGCAUUCAAAUUGAAUUGAUAGAUUGCUAAUCCAAUAUCCAAGCUUUCAAAAUUACCUUAGCUUUGAUCAUCA